Long non-coding RNA from Parus major (Great Tit), 9318 nucleotides. RefSeq lists it as uncharacterized. The record is from RefSeq and is a predicted model, not a curated record. Lineage: Eukaryota; Metazoa; Chordata; Aves; Passeriformes; Paridae. The transcript is spliced from 3 exons.
GACAUAUGUUCUCCCAUGCCUGAGGUAUUUUUUUUUGCCAUGGUUUGUAACAAGCAAGCGCUAGGAAGACAUUUGCAUCUCCUCAUCGGAGACAUUUGAGGGAACCUGCUGGCUAUGGAGCUCCCGUCCAGUUCACGGAUCUCUUGGAUCGCCUCCUCCUGCCCUGACCUCGGGGGUGGCAGGGCUGUUUCCCACACUUUUCUCCUCGCUGCUCGGCACCUUUGAGGCCUCUCCUCCUUCCUCAGGGCCCUCGAGCGUUCCCCGAGGGCUCAGCGGGCCCGGCCUCCCCUCAGGGCGGGCGGCCCUCAGCGCCGAGCCGCCACGGGCCGAGCAGAGAGUUCCCAGGGCACUUUCGGGACUUCAGUGACGUGAAAAGUGCACAGCUCAAGAAUGGCAAAACUUGUUUCCCUCGAAGAUGUUUUCAGAAUGCUAGAGGCUGCAAUGGAAAGAAUCACUGACACAAGUUUGGCAUGCUUUUCUGUAAGCAGUAGAAGAAAACUCUGCCUGCAUUGUAGGCAUGAUAAUCAGCAUAUCCCAUGGGUAGGAGUGUGGGAGGCUCUGGACAUUUUCCAAUACUCUCAUGAGCGUCACUACUGAAGUAAGAAUAAUCAAGAAGAAACAAUUAUUUCAAAGACAAUAUCAUUUUCUUUCUAUCUAUCUUAGGGAAGAUGAACAGUAGGAGAUAGAAAAUGUGAUAGAUUUCAAUAUGCAUCAGGGUCAGCAAAGAAAACAGCCAUAAUUUUCAAAUGAAACUAUGUAAAGUUCCUCAGUGAGGUUUAUUAUUUGAAAAUGUUACCUUCUCCCAAACUUACUUCCAGGUUGAACCUUGUUUCAGUCCUAAAUCUGUCUAAUGUGCUGCAGAUAUAUUCAAAUUAUGUUUAUCUGCUGUAAGAAGGCAAUUCUAAAUGCUGCUCAACAAAUCAAACAAGUAUUAAGUAGACAUACAACAAUUUAUGUUGUAUAUUUAUAGAGCUCCCAGAAGAACUGACUAUAAAAUCAUUCACUGCACUUAAAAUUAAAUUUGAAACACAGUUUUUUGUAAAGAGACUUUUGGAAAGAAUUUUCAAAGAAUCCAGAAAGUUCAGCUUCCAGGUCCUAUCUUUUGAUUUUCUAAAAACUUCUGCCCAUCCACAGUAAUCUAGGCCUGGUCACACAAAGUUACAGCAGUCUUAAUAUCACAUUUAUUCUCAUAACCCAGCCAUAGCAGUCCUUUCUGUCCCAGAAAAGAUAAAGACAAUAUUACUUAUUCUAUAGUAAAUGAUCAGCAGUUUUUUUCCUGAUCCCAGCAUUGCAGUGUUUUGUAAGCAAGAGUACAAUGAUUUUCAGCAUAGCCAUGUGACAGCUGCAGAAUUUUUGUGUGUUAAACUAGCCGCUAAUUAGGAGUAAAGAGUUUUCUUGAAGCUGUUCAAACUCUUAAAAUUGACUGUGCCAAGAUCCAUUGUCCAGAUAUUCCUGCUCACUUCAAGGGAAUAACAGCAGAAACUGUACUGCAGACACACCAGUACCUGAAAAUUAUAGGUUAGGAAAGACACCAAAGCUUUCAUUAAUAGAAUUGUAGAUCUCUGAGGGAGAACAGCACAGCCAGGUGUGGAGGUUCUGUGUGCUUACCCCUGACAUGCAACCACUUAGCAUUCCUGAAACAUGGGCACUAGCAGUAUCGCUCCACAAUUAUGAUGCCCAUUUUCGUGGUCAUGUUUUUGUUCACCCUCCUGAUGGCAAUACUUUCAGUCAGAGGUGUGGAAUAACAUGAGCAGUGUGUGCUCCUACCCUCAGGAGCAAUUUUCCUUUUUUUUUAUUUGUAUAGUCAUAUGCACUAAAAGGAUGUGAAAAGACUAUUAUUAAACUACCCUUAAAUAUGUUUGAUGACACCACAUGCUGACUCAGAAAUUCCUUUCCUCCAAGGCCAUUUAAAGCUGAGGGUCUAAUUGCAAAUGUUUUAUUACUGUGUUGAUAAAUGUACCGUAUCAUUCAUUCCUUUUCAGAAAAAUUUCAUGCAGGCCUUUUCUAAUACAAUGUUUUAAAGAUCAAACUCAGUAUAUCCAUUUAGAAGAGCAAUCUCAGCUCUUAGCUGCAGUAAAAGUAAUAAUAAUAACACUUACUGUACUUUACAUCUUCAAAGCACUGUAUGGGUAUUAAGCAAUUUGUUUCUCUUGGCAAGGAUUUUAGUUUGCAUUGGACAGUAAGUAGCAGCAGGUACUUUGUUUCUUCUUUUUUCUUUCCUUCUUUAUUUUUUCCUUCCUGUCUUAUUCCCCACAGGCUAGAAGUGUGUCACUUCUUGUUUAUGGGAAUUCUAGAAAUUCCUUACUGGUGCAACUGAAUGGUUUGAAUUUGCUUUUACCAUCCAAAGCAAUCCAUCAGAUUCCUAUUAUUUGUGAGAUAUUUCAGGAACAGAGAGAAGAGUCAACUUUCUUUUGAUGCCUGCUCUGUUGCCGUAACAUGGAGCUGUCCUGGUUAAGUUUCACAAGGAAAUAUCGUGGGUUUGUUUGUUUUUUUUUUUUCCCUAGCUCAAAUGUCCUUAUUUACUAUCACAACUAAUAGAACCAGAAUAAGCAAGAAUCUUGUCUUUUGCAAAUGCUGGGCUAGAAAAUAAUGAGUGCGGUCCCAAGGAUGAUGUUUCCACAAAUACAAGGAUAAGCAUUAUUGUUCUUAAUGUUUUGCAAAGUAGCCCAGUGAAACAGGUCUUGACAUCCUUGCUUUCCAUGGGAGACUACCUCCUUUCUAGGUGGCAGGGGAAAGUGCAAGCAAAAGAGCCAGUUCUGCUUAGAACUGAGGGUCAAAGGUACAGUAACUGAGAUCUGCAGAGCCAGAGCUUGUCACAGCAGCAAUGAGACUUUGCCAUUCCAGAAGUCAGUUGUACUUCAAACUUAUUGCACUGCCAUUCCACCCAGAAACUGCUACAGUCUCCAUUCCUCUUUGCAGCAACUCUUCUUUCUGUAAAUGCUCAGCAUUUUAAAGUGCUCAUGUCCUUGAUAUUUCUAAUUAAAUCCCAAGGAGACUGAGGAGUCUGCAGAUGUAGCAAGCAUUAAUUCAGUGGUCUCUGUUGUCAAAAAAGCAGUCAGUGUUUAAGUGCAUUACAGACAUUUAUCUUUUACUUAUUCAGGAAACUAUUUCCAUAAGCUUGUGACAGGAACAUUUUCAAUAAAUAUUAAAAUAAAAUCACUGGAGCAGUUUGAUUUGUGGAAAUUCCCCAAAAUUGAGAAUUACCAACAAACAGAGGUGCAAUCUCACUUCUAAGUUGUAUGAACAUAGACGUGAAUCAUAUUCACAGCAGCUGGGAAUGUGCUGUGACUUGGUGUUGCUUCACUGUCCUCACUUCCUAUCUCCUAACAGCGCGUGACCUGGAAGUGCUCUGCCACAUGCGCCUUCCCCAGGGCUGCAUGGAUAUUUCUGCAGAAGCAAUUCUGAAGGGCUAAAAACCCAGCUCUCCUCUUCCACAACCAGUAGAUCUGGAGAGACCAGUCCUUGCCCAGUGAUCAGCUUGACCUUUGCCGGUACCACUGAACAGUGCUCCAGGAAGAAGCAGGCUGAUAUUUUGCCAUAGAGACAGCACUUUUCUGUCACACAACAAAAAAAAGACAUUAGCUCCUUAGAUGCCCAAGUCAAUCAUCUUUGAUUCAGACAAGCUUUUCUCUUGAGAAAAUAACAUGCACAUCGUUUAUGUUUCCUAUUAUAUCUAGAAAUAUAUUCUGAAUUCUCCUUUGAAGGCUUCAGUAGCUAUAGAUUAAGUUGCUGACAAGAAAUUAAGAAAGUGGAUGGUAGGACUUGCUAGAAGAAAUUAUUCAGCUGAGGACAGAACACAAGACUUCAAGGUCUGAAAGGGUGAAGCAGAACUGUUUAUCUCUCAUGCCACAUAGAGAAGAUUUCUGAGCUGAUUUAUCGCUUAGCUUUUGAAAGAUCAACACAGUCAGAUAGAAAAAAAAUUCACUGUUUUCUUUUCUUCUUUCCAGAACUAUAGACCUGUAUUUCAAAAGCCAUUGUUGAAGUGGAGGAUUAGAUGAAAAGGUUGAUCCCUGACUCAAUUUUCAAGGGCAGGUCUCAUGCUACUUAACCCAGGAAUUUCCCCAGUUUUCUGUUGCAUUCUAUGCUGCCAUCAUCUGGCUCUUUCUAUAAAACCUGACAUUUUCUAAAUCUCAGUUAUUUCCAGGCCUGAAUUUCUCUUUGGGUAAGAAUCUACAAUGUUUUUCAUGAUGAUCUCUCACAGUAUGAAUUUACCUUUUCUCAAACAGCAAGCAUCCCUCUGCAGCUUCCACUGCCAAGAUAUUUACUCAGACUCUGGGUGGGACAUGCAGCUCCCUUUGCCUAACUGAGCUCUCAAGAUAGAGGGAAAAUAUUAAUUCGUGUGUCUGUUCAUACUCCAGCAUACCAUUCUGAUUCUAAAUCUCUUCAAUCACCCAGCAGAGAUUUCUUGAAAGCAAGCCAGUUAUUUCUAGCAUGCCAGCCACCAGCAUCUUGACUAUGCCCUUCUAACUCAGGGAAUGCAGACAUUUGGUCAUGGAAAACACAUCUCCUCCUACAGUAAAAGAGUGUUACCAACUCUCCCAGUGAUUUACUUAAAUAUAAACAGGUUGUUUACUUCAAGGAAAAUCUUAUCUUCUGCCUGAUGAGACAAUAAUAAGAGGUGACAGAAGCUUUCCAAUCAGCUAACACAGAUCCAAGGCCAUGCUGCUUCCAAGACAUCACAACCUUCAUCUCAUUCUCGAAUGUCUGGCAACCAGAGUACUGUGAAAGGUUCAGAAACAUUCAUCUGGCUAAACUCUGGAUUUCUGAUGGCAGGUAAAACUCUGAGGGAACUGUGAAAGCACUGGAACUAAUACAGACAUGGGGAAGAACAAUACAUACAAUAAACUUUGCUUCAUCUUUAGAUUGCAGCAUACCACUCUGAGGAAAGGCUUUUCCUGGAGCAUUUCCAAUCCUUGGCUUUUUGUCUACUCUGAUCUUCCGAGAAGACUCUGUGCAUGCCAGGCAAAAGUCUGUCUAGCCAAACAUGCUCAGCUGCUUUGUCUUCCUGUUAAAGGAUUCACCUAACCUGUUCUGUAGGUAACAAGGACAGGAGAGCAAGAUUGCCUCUCUGCUGCCCAGCCACACCCCAAUUCCAAGUGCAGAGCAGAAGGAUGCUACAAAGAAGAUUUCUGUCAUACAUGGAACUGCAAAUAGGCAAGCACAGCACAUCUCCUUGUCACAGCACACAUCAAUCAAAGCAUGGAGUUCCUGAUAGGAUGCUAAUCAAUCACCAUAGGGAGACAGGAGCAUGGGGAGACAUUCCAAUAUGUUUUCCUUCAUUCUUUUUCCUGAAACAGGAGAGGCAGGUUAAAUAAUGCUCUGCUGGAGCUUGUGAUGCACAUUUUUCAGGGUAUGGGAAUUAUUGCAUAUAAAGGAGACUAUGAGGCCUGUAAAUUAGAAUGAACAAGUCUUGGGGCAAACCAGAAAGAAAAAGGCAUAUUUACUUAGGGACUAUAAGCAGAGAUGAACCUAAAAAGAGACAAGAAGAUCGGAAACUCAGUCUUAGAAAUGAUAAAAAUGUCUGCUUGGUUUUAAUUUCCACAUCCAAGUCCUGAGAAAAAUCUACAGAACCAAAACCAAAAUUAAAUAGAUGUUUAUUUAAUGAACAAAGCAAAACCAUGCCUAAUAUUUGGAUAUGCAGAAGUGACCACUUAUUUUACCUGCUCACUUCAAAUGACAGGUGCUGAAACUUACAGAUUCUGUAUUUGCUAUUUAUUUUUGUAAUGACAGAAGAGAAGUGGGACAAAGUGGCUGGACAGCUGUAUGAAACCUCCAUUCUGAAUUCAAAUCUGAAUUGGACCUGAACCAAUACAUGCAGGUCUUGAGCACCACUGCAUGCUUCCCUUAAAAACCUUCACUGCUCUGAAUCCUGGAUGAAUGUCUCCUUAUGCAUCCUGGCAGAACCGAGCUGAGACUUUCAGACCCACUUGAGAACUUCCAGAAGUGGAACUGGGCUCCCAAGGUUUAAAAGCAGCAUCAAUCCUAAUGAAGCAACACAGAAAGUAAAUAUGUACCUCUAAAAGUACUCAUAUAAGCACAAUUAAAUAUUGGAGGCUUGAGGAAACACCUUUCAUACAGUUGCUGGUAGUAGAAAUACAGACAAGCCCUAAAUCGGCCCUAUAUAAUAUUGUAUUUAUUUCUUACGCCACUACUUUUCAUAGCCUUGACCUGUGUAACUGUAGAGUAAGAAAAAAAAUAAAGAAGCAAACCACAUAGAAAUACGUGCCCCAUGUUCCUCACUCAGGGAUUAAACAAAACAAAGAAUGUUUCAUUUCAAUUUUCAAGCAGGCUCUCUAUGCUUCUGAAGAGUGCUGAUGCCCUGUGAUUUCUGAGCAAGACAGCAUUAGGACUGUACACACUGUAUUCCUCCUUGCUUUAUUAAUAAAACAAUAAGGAACUCAGUGGUGCAGAAGCAACUGAACAUGCUGCUAUGAAGGAGACCUCAAAGCCCACUCAGCUGCUUCACUGGUGUAUAUUAAAAUUAAUGAGUUUCUGCUGCAGAAAGAAAGAGGUGUCCUUACAGGGGAAUGAGAUCUAUGAUCUUUAUAUUGCAGCACAACCACUGAGAAGCACAGAAAUCUGCACAGCUCCAUCUCAGAUUUCUUUUUACAGGGGGAAGGCAAGGACAGGCUGAAUACACUUGCUAUACCUAUUGAAAGAGGGGAAAGGAGAGUUUUUCAUUUGCAUCUUAAGAACCUUCCCACUAGUAAAAACUGGAUCAAAAGCUCUCUCACUACCCCCACCCCCAUUUUUAUAGCGAAGAGAGAAAAGCAUUGGCAAUAUUGAAUGCCAGCCAGCAGCUGAGGCUGUUAACUCAGCCAUUAUAACCACAAUAUUUAAUAGCUGUCAGUUAAAGAUCCCUGAUAUUUAUACAGGAGAACAUAUAUAUCUGUAGGUCAGCACAUUUCAUUAAUAUUUUUGUCUAUGACACCCUUCACAUUGGUUUCAAGCUUUUAAUGCUUUCCAGUUAACAAAGCAAAAUUUUGAAGCAAAUAUUAGGUUGGAAAAUAUUACAAUUUUUUAAAUGUUGUUUCAUUAAGGUGGCUCAGUUUUAUUUAAAAUUCUUCAAGGCUCUCAUUUAACUGCAAACAGGAGUUAGUAACACACAGCUACAAUAGCAUCUCUGUCAAAUUUAUUUCCUGCUUAAGAGCUCCAAUGGGAAACAGAAGUUACUAGCAUGUUUCAUAUGUAAAGCACAUCAAGUAUUUUGUGAGCCCAGUUCAAGCCACUUGUUUGGACUGAAGUUGUAACUGGAGAGUACUUUUACCACAGAUCAUCCUAAUUCUAUAGAAAAAUUACCUAAAAUCUUAAGGAAGUUGAUUUUCUUAACACUUCUUUUUCUUAGGUGCUGGAGAUACAUCAACCUCAGAUAUACUAAUGAAUGCUAGCUUCAAAUAUAGUUUAAAACUACAAGUGCUAAAUCAUGGUAAAAUUUAGAAAACCAGGAUCAACUCAAAAGUUCCCUGAACUGUCCUAUAGGUACCAGGUAUUCCCAUUUAAUGAGGAUAUUUGAUCUCAGUGUAUUCAGAUUUUAUUUUUAUGCACUUUGUGUUCCAGGAGUUCAUUGCAAUCUACAGGGACCUGCCACAGAGCAGGAAAAAAAGAGGUGGGGAGAAGGUGGGAAGAGGACAGACAACACACAGGAUAGACAGGACCAAACGAAAACACCAACCAACAAAGAAACAGAAAAUACCCACACCAAACUCAGAUUUGAGGAAGCAUUAGAAAUUCAAUUUACUAAUGUAUGGCUAUGAUUUAUACCUAAAAUCCUUACUGUGUCACUUGUGUAGAGCUUAGUGUUUUCCACAGCAUAUCUACAUCUCAAGCCUGCAAAUUGCUUCUGUUCUAAUUUAACCAACUUCAGCCUAUUAAUAAUAUCAUAUAAAGGGCAGCACUUUGUUUAUCUCAUUGAAAUCCAGAAAUUUGCUGCACUGCCCUGCCAUUAAGUCCCUGUCAGUCCAGAAGCAUUCUAUUGGGACUGCAUUAGUUCAUUAUUGAAAUAUACCUUUCUUUUAGCCUUACUUGAGUCAAGCUUUAUCAAAAACAUACUACAUGAAGAAAAAUGGUAUCUGAAGUUCAACCUCCAUCACUUCUGCUUUGGAGAAGGUUUUUGGAAAAGCAAGAAAAAAUACAGAAAUUAAAAUCUGUCCAAGAAGACUCCAGAACUGGUUAUUUAUAUGACAUAAACAGAGGAUGAUCUAUUUUGUUACUUGCAAAUCUCCCUUUGUGUCUCUUUCCUCUCCCCUACUUUUGUAUAUCGGGAAAAUUUGAAGUUAAGCUCCAGAAAGUACCUGGGGAAUGCUCUGAUUCUGGGCAUAAUUUGAACUCAAACACAGCCAAUUCCAGCUUGUCCAGUUUAAGCAAAGCAGAACCUCAGCACUGAACAAUCUGAUAUGUAUACAGUAUAAUCUCAGACUGGGCUCUGUCAGAGAAUGUAUUUCCUUCCUUCUUCCCUCCUAUUAUAGAGAAGGGCAGUUGGGUGUGUGGCCCCACUGAAGCGUAAUUUUUAAGAGAAUUUUCCACAAGUACUUUCAAGGCCAAAGAGUCAGAGACCACCUCUGCUAAAAGGAACCAUGACAACAAGCCAGAGGCCACGUACACAUCAGCAAGGACUGGGAUUCACUAGAAACAGAGCUGUGCAAUGAGACAGUUGGUGCUGAUGACCUGACUUGCUACCAUGAAUAUUUAAUUAGGGUUUAUGUCAAAAAAGAACAAAUCUGGUCCCACUAGGGACUGAAUGCAGUCAGUGAGCAUUGAAAAUGCUCUUGGAAAACAUUAUCCUUUCAGUUUAAUCUGAAAGAGAGCCAAUAAAGCACCCCAAGACUGCUCCAUGGUAUGAAUCAAAGCACAUUUACCAGGCACAAGCAGAUUAGCUUCAGAAGCACAUUCCUGAUCUGAACUAAACUACUAAUCUAGACACACUAUAAAUUCUUCUGCAUGAGAUCCUAACAGCACAAUAUACAGAGGGAAAAAAUUAUUUUGUAUUAUGCUCAGAGAUGCACCCCUGAAAACUGGAAUCAGGAUCUUCCAAAGUAAAGUGAUUCUAUGUAAAAGCCAAACAGAUGGGCAGGCAAUUUUUUUAAAAUCAAAGAUAAUGGAAGGAGGCAAUUUAAGGUAAUUUUACUCCCUUUAAGAGUAAAAAUUGCUUUUACAUUUCAAUCAAAUGAGAGCAUCUAUGCAACAUAAGUCAGAGAGCUAAGCACCAAGCGGUGUCUCCUCUACUGUCUUGGAUGUUCCUCCAGUGACAUUCAGCUGGCAGGAGAAAAAUCAGGGUUUUUUACAGGCUUAAGACCUUUGACACUCUCAGCUUUUUCUGUU